Non-coding RNA from Pelobates cultripes (western spadefoot toad), 237 nucleotides. The record is from the annotation of a GenBank genome assembly. NCBI's taxonomy places the organism in Eukaryota, Metazoa, Chordata, Amphibia, Anura, Pelobatidae.
CUUGGACACAACUCAAGAAACACUCCUUGACACUUAGAAUUUUACUAUUACUUUCUAACCAACAUCACUUUUCUCUAUUACUUACACACCUCCAUACAACCAAUCAUACUCGCGUUCAAGUUCCUGGGACUACCUACUCAUCUGAUGAGAACAUCUACAUCAUAACUGGUAAUUAUGCUGGUUUUAUUUAAUUAAUCUAAAUUAAUUAAAAUCUAUAAAUAGCAGGAUACAUGCAUG